CCAGACUCCUACGGGAGGCAGCAGUAGGGAAUCUUCCGCAAUGGGCGAAAGCCUGACGGAGCAACGCCGCGUGAGUGAUGAAGGUCUUCGGAUCGUAAAACUCUGUUAUUAGGGAAGAACAAACGUGUAAGUAACUGUGCACGUCUUGACGGUACCUAAUCAGAAAGCCACGGCUAACUACGUGCCAGCAGCCGCGGUAAUACGUAGGUGGCAAGCGUUAUCCGGAAUUAUUGGGCGUAAAGCGCGCGUAGGCGGUUUUUUAAGUCUGAUGUGAAAGCCCACGGCUCAACCGUGGAGGGUCAUUGGAAACUGGAAAACUUGAGUGCAGAAGAGGAAAGUGGAAUUCCAUGUGUAGCGGUGAAAUGCGCAGAGAUAUGGAGGAACACCAGUGGCGAAGGCGACUUUCUGGUCUGUAACUGACGCUGAUGUGCGAAAGCGUGGGGAUCAAACAGGAUUAGAUACCCUGGUAGUCCACGCCGUAAACGAUGAGUGCUAAGUGUUAGGGGGUUUCCGCCCCUUAGUGCUGCAGCUAACGCAUUAAGCACUCCGCCUGGGGAGUACGACCGCAAGGUUGAAACUCAAAGGAAUUGACGGGGGCCCGCACAAG
RNAcentral lists this ribosomal RNA (607 nucleotides) under uncultured bacterium. Its description in RNAcentral is "bacterial SSU rRNA". It matches the Rfam family "Bacterial small subunit ribosomal RNA", at positions 331 to 929 of the family's 1533-position model. The record is from RNAcentral.